This 327-nucleotide ribosomal RNA is filed under the name Triticum aestivum (bread wheat). Its description in RNAcentral is "partial small subunit ribosomal RNA". Lineage: Eukaryota; Viridiplantae; Streptophyta; Magnoliopsida; Poales; Poaceae. The record is from RNAcentral.
AUGGAGCAAGCGGCCAGCAGCGCGAAGGAGGAUCUCAGCCUCGAGCUUACCCUGGCCUUUGCUAUGUGCGUGGCACCAGCCGCGCCCCGCUCGGGCUUCUUCUUGUGCGUUUACUGUGACCGCAAGUUCGGCAACGCGCAGGCGCUCGGUGGUCACCAGAACGCGCAUAAGCAAGAGCGCGCCGUCGCCAAGCUCCGCCGGGACGCGUGGAGGGCUGCUGCAAUUUCUCGGAUCUCCGGGGAGCCUGCAGUAGGCUCUGUGGCGUACAAGCGCGGCAGGACCUCAUCGGACCGCGACCACGAGCUGGACUUGUCUCUCCGGCUGUAA